AGCUCCAAUAGCGUAUAUUAAAGUUGCUGCAGUUAAAAAGCUCGUAGUUGCAUUUCCGAGGCAAGGGAUUAGUCCGACCUUUGGUGGGUAUUUAAUCCUCUUGCCUCGUCCUUGAGUGGUGCUUCUUGGUAUUAAGUUAUCGAGGAGAUAGCCGCUCAUCGUUUACUGUGAGAAAAUUAGAGUGUUCAAAGCAGGCUUAUGCCGUUGAAUAUAUUAGCAUGGAAUAAUAAGAUAGGACCUCGGUACUAGUUGGUUGGUUUGAGAACCAAGGUAAUGAUGAAUAGGGACAGUUGGGGGUAUUCGUAUUCAGUUGUCAGAGGUGAAAUUCUUAGAUUUACGGAAGACGAACUACUGCGAAAGCAUUUACCAAGGAUGUUUUCA
Molecule: ribosomal RNA, 381 nt
Filed under: uncultured marine Chaetocerotaceae
Lineage: Eukaryota; Bacillariophyta; Thalassiosirophyceae; Chaetocerotales; Chaetocerotaceae
Description: SSU rRNA
Rfam family: Eukaryotic small subunit ribosomal RNA
Source: RNAcentral